UAAUGGCUGUUCUCAGCUCGUGUUGUGAAAUGUUGGGUUAAGUCCCGCAACGAGCGCAACCCUUAUCCUUUGUUGCCAGCGGUCCGGCCGGGAACUCAAAGGAGACUGCCAGUGAUAAACUGGAGGAAGGUGGGGAUGACGUCAAGUCAUCAUGGCCCUUACGACCAGGGCUACACACGUGCUACAAUGGCGCAUACAAAGAGAAGCGACCUCGCGAGAGCAAGCGGACCUCAUAAAGUGCGUCGUAGUCCGGAUUGGAGUCUGCAACUCGACUCCAUGAAGUCGGAAUCGCUAGUAAUCGUGGAUCAGAAUGCCACGGUGAAUACGUUCCCGGGCCUUGUACACACCGCCCGUCACACCAUGGGAGUGGGUUGCAAAAGAAGUAGGUAGCUUAACCUUCGGGAGGGCGCUUAUACACUUUGUC
RNAcentral lists this ribosomal RNA (424 nucleotides) under bacterium 28S521. RNAcentral's name for it is "bacterial SSU rRNA". It matches the Rfam family "Bacterial small subunit ribosomal RNA", at positions 1043 to 1466 of the family's 1533-position model. The record is from RNAcentral.